UGCAGCCGGUGGAAGAUGACGCGAAUGUCGGUCGCCGUCACCCAGUCCUGCAGGAUGACCGAGUUGUCAA
This 70-nucleotide microRNA precursor is filed under the name Anopheles gambiae str. PEST. Its description in RNAcentral is "partial AGAP013573-RA". The record is from RNAcentral. Lineage: Eukaryota; Metazoa; Arthropoda; Insecta; Diptera; Culicidae.